Molecule: long non-coding RNA, 1384 nt
Filed under: Scleropages formosus (Asian bonytongue)
Lineage: Eukaryota; Metazoa; Chordata; Actinopteri; Osteoglossiformes; Osteoglossidae
Description: lncRNA (ENSSFOG00015026288.1)
Source: RNAcentral
GACAAAUGACUCCCGCCUGCUGCAGAUCUGUCUGGAAGGGUCAGCCCGUAGCACUUAGUCACGCAAAGCUGACAGAUGUUGGAGGCUCAGAUACAGAACCUGUUUCUGACAUCGAAUGAAAUGAAUUGCAGAUAAGACGCAGUGAGGCGCACAGUGACAUUGCAUUCUGCUCUUCUGGCCUUUCUGUCCCUUUGGUACCAAGACGCAGAACAGUGUAACCCUUCACUAGCAAACGUGUUGUAAGGUGUUCGGAUUAUGUCCGUAUUUAAGAGGACUGCUGCGCUACGCAGCCGUUUCCGAGGCUGACCUGCGCUCUUCACUUUUCUGUCUCCAGCCUGCGCUGUGUUCUUCUCCCUGUAUCCGGCACCUCUGUCCUGUAGCCCGCAUUUUUGUUUGUCUUUGCUGUGCUGUUUCUUCAGUUUGUGAUAUACUGAGCUGUUAUUUUUCCACGUGUUUGCUGGGGUUCUCACCACGCUAGUUUUCUUCGCAGAUAUGUCCGAGAAACAGGCUCUGUCCAUGGUGACUGUGGCUGGGGCUGUGAUUGGAGCAGUUCUUGCCCUCUUCCUCCUCAUAUUUUUCACCGUUGUCAUCCUCUCAAGCCGCAAAGCCUCGCAUCCGGUCUACACGGACAAAGUGAUCGAUCUCCCUCCUACCCACAAGCCCCCUCCCCCCUACUCAGAGAGGCCCGUGUCUGUACCGCAGGCUACAAACCCUGGACAGGCACGGAGAGUGGAGCGACAAACCAAGAUGACGGAGAACACGUCUGCCAAGAGUGCCCAGUGUGAGGCCCGGGGCCCCAUUCGCCAGCCUCUGUCCUAUCAUGAAUGGAUUUGUCAUCACAACGGUGCAGACCGCAUCUACGUAAACCACCGCGAGCACUAUGUGUGAACGGGUUGCGUGAUGGGAUGCGUGCCUUCGGUCCUCCACCCCAUUACACACUUUUACCAUCCACAGUGACCACAUGCACCACCCCCAGAAGCAGCCCUGCUCCACAUCAACCCUUCAGUUACGAGUAUAUUGCCAGAACCCAAAGGACAACAAGACUGUCCUGAUGGCCCCUAAUCUGAAUAACGGGUGCUUUGACACACUGAUUAUUUAGCAAUCGGCCCAAUCACAUGAUAAAUUCCAUAAAUACCUCGUAAUAGUCUAGCAAAUAUGCUUCUCUUCACCUCCCACCACUGACUGUAGAUUGAAAACGGACUUUGUGAAACUAAUGUCAUGAGUUUAAUUAAAUCAGACCGCACACCGAGUCUAAUAUGCAUUUCUGUUCCCUGGUCCAGUCCCGGUCUAGUCCCGGUCCAGUCCCAGUCCCAUUAUGUUCCCAUUUGCCAUUUUAACGUCGGUGCUUCAGAUCAAUAAACAAAUGGUUCAAGAGUACUCUGCA